UGAAUAUCCAUUCACCCUUCCUUCC
This 25-nucleotide non-coding RNA is filed under the name Rattus norvegicus (Norway rat). The record is from RNAcentral. Lineage: Eukaryota; Metazoa; Chordata; Mammalia; Rodentia; Muridae.